AUUGAACGCUGGCGGCAGGCCUAACACAUGCAAGUCGAGCGAGCGGCGGAUGGGUGAUUAAUGUCUGUGAAACUGCCUGAUGGGGGUGGAUAACUACUGGAAGCGGUAGCUAAUCCCGCAUCCCAUCAGAUGUGCCCAGAUGGGAUUAGCUAGUUGGUGGGGUAACGGCUCACCUAGGCGACGAUGCCUGUCUGGUCUGAGAGGAUGACCAGCCACACUGGAACUGAGACACGGUCCAGACUCCUACGGGAGGCAGCAGGGGGGAAUAGUGGACAAUGGGCGAAAGCCUGAUCCAGCCAUGCCGCGGGGGUGAAGAAGGCCUUCGGGUUGUAAAGCACUUUCAGCGGGGAGGCGUUACCCGCAGAAGAAGCACCGGCUAACUCCGUGCCAGCCGCCGCGGUAAUUC
Molecule: ribosomal RNA, 406 nt
Filed under: uncultured bacterium
Lineage: Bacteria
Description: partial 16S ribosomal RNA
Rfam family: Bacterial small subunit ribosomal RNA
Source: RNAcentral